AUGACGACAUUGAGAAUGGACCUUUGUCACUAUGUGCGACCAAAAAGGCCUAAGACAAUGAUCUCCGGCCCAAAAGUCAUCAGCCCAACCAAUCAGCAUUCCAACUUCCCAGUCCUCCGUCUUCGAGUGUUCGCCGCCGGCUAGUUAGCAACCAUGGCCAACACAGUCCGCGUCGCUGCCGCUCAGAUGACUUCGAUCAACGACGUCGCCGCAAACUUCGCCACCUGCUCUCGCCUCGUUAGAGAAGCAGCUUCAGCUGGGGCGAAAUUGAUUUGUUUUCCAGAAAAUUUUUCAUAUGUUGGUGACCUAGCUGGAGACAGUUUGAAGGUUGCUCAACCAUUAGAUGGACCAAUUAUGAAGGAGUAUUGUUCUCUUGCAAGGGAUUCAAAUAUGUGGCUGUCUCUUGGAGGAUUCCAAGAAAAAGGACCUGAUGAUGCACAUCUAUGCAAUGCUCAUGUUUUAAUUGAUGAUGCUGGGACUAUCAGAAGUGUAUUCCGGAAGAUGCACCUAUUUGACGUGGAUGUCCCUGGAAGUGCAGUUUACAAGGAGAGCUGCUUUACAGAAGCUGGGAAGGAGAUUGUUACAGUAGAUAGCCCCUUUGGACAUUUAGGUCUGACAGUGUGUUAUGAUUUGAGAUUUCCGGAGCUUUAUCAGCAGUUGAGGUUCCACCAUAAUGCACAGGUCUUACUGGUACCUGCUGCUUUUACAAAACCAACAGGUCAAGCACACUGGGAGAUUCUUCUUCGUGCUCGUGCAAUUGAAACUCAAUGUUAUGUCAUAGCUGCUGCGCAAGCUGGAAAGCAUAAUGACAAAAGAGAAAGCUAUGGUGACACCUUGAUAAUUGAUCCAUGGGGAACAAUAGUUGGGCGGUUGCCGGGUCUGAAAUAUUUUCUUCCCCUAUUCAAUUUCUUUGGUUUUAACUUCUUUCCCUCUGUAUGGUCCUUAGUUGACUUGUUUGAUUUGGAUAUAGGCUCACUCUGAAACAGGCAGAUGGAAAGCACGAUUAUAUCGUUUGUCAACUGGCAUUGCUGUUGCAGAUAUUGACUUCUCUUUCAUUGAUUCAGUUAGAGCAAAAAUGCCCAUAUGCCAGCAUCGGAAGCCCAUUGAGUUCUGGAAAUCUGCCUCUCUGUAGGUGAGACGCAACCGUUCUAAGCAUACACUGAACUUGCACAGGCUUUGGUCCAUUUGUAAUGCUCGUAACGGGAUGCAAUUGUGCAACUGCAUUGUUAGGAAGUUCAUGAAGCCUUCUCCGAUUCAUUGUCUUUCUGCUUGUUUACUGUUACCACAACCUUUGUACCAUCUGUGAUCAUAAUGGUCUCUCUCUCUCUCUCUCUCUCUCUCUGUGCAUGCGUGCAUAGACAUCCACUCGGCAUGCGCAGCACUGCAGUCUUGUAUUAGGAGGAGAGAUAGCAGGAGGGAGAAAUCCGGAACUUGUUAUUUUGUACUUAAAAAAGCAAACUUGUUAGAGGUCCAAUGCUUUGAUUUACUCGUUACUAUUUUGGAUAGAGCGCAAAUGUAACCAUUUCAUGAGUUGAGGUCAUUUAUGGCCUUUUUUUAAAAAUUAUUUAGUCCAAAA
Molecule: RNA transcript, 1576 nt
Organism: Coffea arabica (coffee)
Lineage: Eukaryota; Viridiplantae; Streptophyta; Magnoliopsida; Gentianales; Rubiaceae
Gene name: deaminated glutathione amidase, chloroplastic/cytosolic-like
Source: RefSeq, a predicted model, not a curated record